CAAAAAUGAAUUGCCAAGUCACUAAUACCAAACCCCUAACAAGCAAUUCAAACUGAAGGUGCGAGAUGAAAACUUCAUUCCAGAACGAGAUCUUCAUCUCUCAAAAAUCCAAUUCAAUCCCUACCCCCAACUUCGAUACCAAACACAACUUACCCAUCUCAAAAGUGAAAUCACGAUCUAGAAUCUCAUCCUCCCAAAAAAGAUCGAACAAUUGCACUGUUAAAGGUGAACCCUAACCGAACGUCCGUCGCCGUUGAAAGUCCACAACCCAACCACGAAAUUGGGUUUUUCAAGAAGUGCACAUGGAGGGAGAGAAUCGACGUAAAUCCUAAAAUUUAUUUAUGGUUUCUUCAUUUUCAUCUUUACCACACAUGGAAUGUAAAUAUUUAAAAAAAAAGAAAAGAAAAAAAGGGAUACCUGAUUGCACGAUCUUGGUGGUUUCUUUUUCCCAUUUUUUUUUUUCCUGUGUACUGCUUGAAUUUUAAUGUAGUUGUCUGUUAAAUAAUAUAUAUUCCUUUGCUAGUUUUCUAUGGUUCAUAUUAUUAUUGUAUACCAUUUAGUAUAAUUGCAUCGUAGUUAUGGGGAAACCUCAUUAUCAACAAUGUGCUAACUUAAUUUUCUUGCGCUUGGUUUAUUUGAUAUGGGUAUUAUCCAUAAAUAUUAGUUUAGUAAAACAAAUAAAGCAAAGUACAUACGAAAGUGUUG
RNAcentral lists this long non-coding RNA (705 nucleotides) under Olea europaea subsp. europaea. The record is from RNAcentral. Lineage: Eukaryota; Viridiplantae; Streptophyta; Magnoliopsida; Lamiales; Oleaceae.